CAUUAACGCAUCUGUAUACUAUCGUCGGGAAUCGAGGUGUUCGAUCGGCCGCCCGUAGUCUUUGGCCGCCGACACCUAACUUAGCAGGGCUUCUUUGGGGUAGACACCCGGUGUCUUUAAAUGUCGUCGCACGUCUCGGAGGGCCUUUCUAGUACCUCGACCGAUCGAAUCGCAUCCCGCUUCGUUCGGACGCAGCCUCGCGGCGUCCGCUGUCGCGUGAGGGCGCCCGAUGGAAGGCUAACGCGAACGCGUCGGUACGCUCGGGGCGAGUCGUUCGGUCGUACGCGGAACGAAAGGAGUUUUCUUUCCGAGACUGCCACCCGGCCCCGUUUGUCUUUUUUUCGUCAACGUGCUUGCGACUGUAACGUAUCGAGAGAGAAAAAGGAAAAACGAGAGACAACUUUUAACGGUGGAUCUCUUGGCUCGUGCAUCGAUGAAGAACGCAGCCAGCUGCGAUAAGUAGUGUGAAUUGCAGAAUUCAGUGAAUCAUCGAAUCUUUGAACGCAAAUGGCGCUCUCGGGUUCUCCCGGGAGCACGUCCGUCUGAGUGUCGGCAUACCUUGCCAUCGCGCGAGAAGACCGCGCGGCGUUGAGGUGUCGCGGCGGCCGGCCGCGUCCCUCGAAGUGCAGGAGAACCGCUGGUUAGUGAUCCCCGGAGGCCGAAGAGACGUUGGUCCCCCGGAAAUCCGCAGCCUGCUCGGUUCGACGGUAGUGACGACCCCUCGAAUCUCGACCUCAGAUCGGGCGAGACCACCCGCUGAAUUUAAGCAUAUCAAUAAGCGGAGGAAAAGAAACUAACAAGGAUUCCCCCAGUAACGGCGAGUGAA
RNAcentral lists this ribosomal RNA (826 nucleotides) under Palythoa aff. mutuki MM-2016. Its description in RNAcentral is "eukaryotic LSU rRNA". The stretch from base 399 to 552 matches the Rfam family "5.8S ribosomal RNA". The record is from RNAcentral. Lineage: Eukaryota; Metazoa; Cnidaria; Anthozoa; Zoantharia; Sphenopidae.